CAGAGACAGAGACAGAGAGACAGACAAAGAGAGGAGGGUGGGGUGCAGAAAUGGAAAUAAAUUUGGAGAGAGAUGGAGUUGGAUGCUCAUCUCGAUAAGGAUUGUGACUUUAUUCUGAAACAAUGGGAAACCUUAAAACAUCCUUGUAUCCCAGCCCUGAAGAGGCUAAGGCAGGAGGAUUGCUAUGAGUUUUAGGCCAGCCUGUGCUACUCAGUUCAUGGUAGUCUGGACAGGGACUGAUUGAGACCCUGACUCAAAACAAAUACAUUGUUUUAAAAAGAAGGAAAAUUCUGAUAUAGAACAGGGACCUCAGAGUGGGCAGACUUGGAGUUACGGCCUAAGGUAGGGGAAAUUGAAUAAUAACCCCUUACACUUACACUGCACUUUGCAAGUGCCCUGUGAGGAAGGAAGACAGUGAUUGGCAACCUCUUCCUGUGGCUGCUCUGAGACAUAUGGAUGACCCAGAGCCACAGAAUUAGCGGGUGGCUUAAACUGAACUCAGACGCUUGAGUGCAUCUCUCAGGAUCUAACUCCAGGUGCUGGUCCACACCGCUGCUUGUGAAGCCUAGCAGGUUUGUCCAUCCUUGUUACAAAGUGGCUGCAACAGCUCCAGGCAUUCUUCAACCAAGGAUAACUGAUACAAUACGGCUCAAAAUUCAGACAAAAAGGGAAGGAGUAAUUUGAGGAAGGGAACUUACCCAGAAACUCCAGGCUUCUCAUCAUAACCCCUUGGCCAGAAUUACCUUCCAAAUUCACUCCAAAAGCAAGCAUUGGCAGACUUGAUUAGAUGAACAUCUCCAAGCACACACCCUCAGAGAGGCUGAGGUGUCCAGAUGUGAAGGAACAUCUCAGUCUGCAGGUCCCCAAAUGGUCUGCUUUUGAUAUUACGUGAACUGCCCAUUAAAAGCCACAUGUAUGAGGACUUCCCGCUACUGAUUAUCCUAAAUGAAAAUGGAAGGCACCCAUCAUCCCCAUCAGAAAUCUGGCAGAUGCUGGCAGGAAGUACACGUGGUUUCUGAGAUUGACUUUUCCCUCUUGAAAAGCCUUGUGUGAACAUAGAACUCAGGGCCUUGCAUAUAGAAGAAAGCAUUCUACCACAUCCUCAACACUUGAGAUAGGUUUUCUUCUUCAAUAGCACAUAUUGAUUUUUCACUGAGGUUGGGGAAAAAGCAAUGGGGUUUGUA
This is a non-coding RNA of Cricetulus griseus (Chinese hamster), 1184 nucleotides long. NCBI's taxonomy places the organism in Eukaryota, Metazoa, Chordata, Mammalia, Rodentia, Cricetidae. The record is from RefSeq and is a predicted model, not a curated record.